GAAACGCGAAAGGUAAUGCGAAUUGCAGAAUCAGUGAGUCAUCGAAUCUUUGAACGCACAUUGCGCCUCUCGGUAUUCCGGGAGGCACGCCUGUUCGAGCGCCAUUACACACCCCAAGCUCAGCUUGAUGUUGGACGCUGUCUGUGAAAGGACAGGUCUGGAACGCGUGGGCGCCGCCGCCGGACCACGAGCGUAGCAAGACGCAAGUCGAUCGCUCUGUGGGCUUACUCGGUGGACGGCCGUCUAGAUGUCGGGUAACACCUUCGUCGAAACACACAACCAAAGUUUGGCCUCGGAUCAGGCGGGGAUACCCGCUGAACUUAA
RNAcentral lists this unclassified non-coding RNA (324 nucleotides) under uncultured fungus. RNAcentral describes it as "sequence contains ITS1". The stretch from base 1 to 104 matches the Rfam family "5.8S ribosomal RNA", at positions 50 to 154 of the family's 154-position model. The record is from RNAcentral. Lineage: Eukaryota; Fungi.